GUCACAUCCGGGUAGUAAGACCGUUCUCGGCCAGAUGCGGACUUCCUGUGAGACUCUGAGGACAGAAACUGCAGAACAACACGAGCUUUCACGUCAGACGCCACAAAAGUCUCCAGUGAAACCAGAUAAGGUCGCUGGUCGCUUUGACAAGAAGACACCGACAGGGUUCAUGACGUCACUGCACCAAACGACCAGGGAGCCUGCGCAUGCGCACACCUCAAGAAGUCAACAUCAUGACCUAAGACUUAAAUCAUAACUUCCACUCUUUAUGAGAAAGAGGCGGUUUCACGUCUCACACAUAAAGCAGGAAGUAAAGCGGCUCGGGGACUUUCCUCACUGCAGAAACAGCAGAUUAAAUCCAUAAUUCCCGUGUGAAGCGGCAGAGGUUGGUGUGAAGGUGUGAAGGUGUGGACUCUGCUAUGAAUCAGGCUGAGGACCCAGAGGACGGAGUCCCUCCCUCUGAAGCCCCUCUGUGUGGGGAACCUGACAGCCAGACCAAAGCUCAGAGGACCCAUCAGAGACCAGGACCUGGACCCAGCUGUGUGUCCAUGAAGAGUAACCGACUCUCUGGUGGAGGUUCUGGGUUUCUUGCUCCAGGGCCCUUCAGCAGUGUCCAGUGGUGGAGGGAGAGCUCCAUGGAGGACUUGGUGAGACCUGUUGGGACUAAACCAAACUGACUGGUGAAGAAAAUAGUGAGCUGAAAGACUGAGCUGUUGAUUCUCAGUGGGACCAGCAGGACCAGUAGACCUGAACCACUACAGGGAGUCAUGUGGUCCACAUCCAGACCUCACGUGAUGGACCUUUACCUUGUUUUGGUCUCUGUGAGGACGGACACCAUGUGAGCUGAUGCUUCAUGAUUAGAUGAUGAUGUGAUGAUGUAAUCUCAGUGUUUCUUUCAG
Molecule: long non-coding RNA, 899 nt
Organism: Gasterosteus aculeatus aculeatus (three-spined stickleback)
Lineage: Eukaryota; Metazoa; Chordata; Actinopteri; Perciformes; Gasterosteidae
Source: Ensembl